GUGAGGAAUAUUGGUCAAUGGGCGAGAGCCUGAACCAGCCAAGUCGCGUGAAGGAAGAAGGAUCUAUGGUUCGUAAACUUCUUUUGCAGGGGAAUAAAGUGCAGGACGUGUCCUGUUUUGUAUGUACCCUGAGAAUAAGGAUCGGCUAACUCCGUGCCAGCAGCCGCGGUAAUACGGAGGAUCCGAGCGUUAUCCGGAUUUAUUGGGUUUAAAGGGUGCGUAGGUGGUUUGAUAAGUCAGCGGUGAAAGUUUGCAGCUUAACUGUAAAAAUGCCGUUGAAACUGUCGGACUUGAGUGUAAAUGAGGUAGGCGGAAUGCGUGGUGUAGCGGUGAAAUGCAUAGAUAUCACGCAGAACUCCGACUGCGAAGGCAGCUUACUAAGCUACAACUGACACUGAAGCACGAAAGCGUGGGGAUCAAACAGGAUUAGAAACCCGUGUAGUCC
This 445-nucleotide ribosomal RNA is filed under the name uncultured bacterium. Its description in RNAcentral is "partial 16S ribosomal RNA". It matches the Rfam family "Bacterial small subunit ribosomal RNA", at positions 354 to 796 of the family's 1533-position model. The record is from RNAcentral.